AAGACGCAUGUAAUCUACAGGGUAGUUGUGUGAUUGUGUUUUCCCAACUACAGAGGGUGAAAUAAAGGACUUGUGUUUCCUGUCCCUCAUUACCAGGGAACGGGCAAAGCCUCCCAGAAGAAUGUGCCGGGCAGACACAUGGUGCAAACCAGUCACCCAGUCUCUAAAGAGCUUUCUGAAUGCCAGCAAUCGGCCGACUCGGCUUGGUGACAGUUUGAGCUUUGGACUGCAGGGGGCCGAAGGUGUGGGAGGGCGUUCCUCUAAGAAAGGAAAAAACCCUGCACAAAGCCAGCAAGUUGUAACAAAGGACGUGCAUGAUUCCGCAAAUUCACCGUAGCUCAAGGCUUUUAACAAACAGCCAUAAAUAAACCAUACAUGAAUCUCAACGUUUUAACUGCCGUGUUAUUUGAAGUUUCUCUUCCCCCUGAAGAUUUAAUUAAGCAGUUUAAAAAAAAAAUCAAGUUAAAGAAAGGGCAGAGCUUUAAAACCGAAACUGCUUUCACUGCUGAGAAACUUUCAAAACCCAUAUUAAAAUUUGGGUAAAAAACUAUGCGGAAAAAUAAAAC
This is a long non-coding RNA of Cavia porcellus (domestic guinea pig), 566 nucleotides long. RefSeq lists it as uncharacterized. The transcript has 2 exons. Lineage: Eukaryota; Metazoa; Chordata; Mammalia; Rodentia; Caviidae. The record is from RefSeq and is a predicted model, not a curated record.